This 875-nucleotide ribosomal RNA is filed under the name uncultured soil bacterium. RNAcentral's name for it is "bacterial SSU rRNA". It matches the Rfam family "Bacterial small subunit ribosomal RNA", at positions 8 to 887 of the family's 1533-position model. The record is from RNAcentral.
AGAGUUUGAUCCUGGCUCAGAGCGAACGCUGGCGGCGUGCUUAACACAUGCAAGUCGAACGCGCAGUUUUCUGUAGCAAUACAGGAAAUGGGCGCGUGGCGGACGGGUGCGUAACACGUGGAUAACCUUCCUUCAGGUGGGGAAUAACCCAGUGAAAAUUGGGCUAAUACCGCAUAACAUGGCGAGGGCACAUGCUCUUGUCUUCAAAGGCGCAAGUCGCCAGAAGAGGGAUUCGCGGCCGAUUAGCUUGUUGGCGAGGUAAUGGCUCACCAAGGCAAUGAUCGGUAGCCGGACUGAGAGGUUGGCCGGCCACACUGGAACUGAGACACGGUCCAGACUCCUACGGGAGGCAGCAGUGGGGAAUCUUGCGCAAUGGGCGAAAGCCUGACGCAGCAACGCCGCGUGGGGGAUGAAGCUUCUCGGAGUGUAAACCCCUUUCGACCCGGACGAAUGCCCGCAAGGGUUUGACGGUACGGGUAUAAGAAGCCCCGGCUAACUACGUGCCAGCAGCCGCGGUAAAACGUAGGGGGCCAGCGUUGCUCGGAAUUACUGGGCGUAAAGGGUCCGUAGGCGGUGUGGCAAGUCGGUAGUGAAAUCUCUGGGCUUAACCCAGAGGCUGCUGCCGAAACUGCCGUGCUAGAGUGCGAGAGAGGCGAGUGGAAUUGCGGGUGUAGCGGUGAAAUGCGUAGAUAUCCGCAGGAACAUCCGAGGCGAAAGCGGCUCGCUGGAUCGCAACUGACGCUGAGGGACGAAAGCUAGGGAGCAAACAGGAUUAGAUACCCUGGUAGUCCUAGCCCUAACCAUCAGACUUGGGGUUUGCCCUGUACGGGGCAAGUCCCGUAGCUAACGCGUAGUCUGCGCUGGGGAGUACGUCG